RNAcentral lists this ribosomal RNA (630 nucleotides) under Triticum aestivum (bread wheat). RNAcentral's name for it is "partial small subunit ribosomal RNA". The record is from RNAcentral. Lineage: Eukaryota; Viridiplantae; Streptophyta; Magnoliopsida; Poales; Poaceae.
AUGGCGGCGGCGGCGAUGAACACGGACGUGGAGGCAGUCGACUUCGACUCCGACGACGACGAUCUCAUGGACGAGGAGGGUGCCAUCGAACCCUCGCCGGCCCCCGCUCCCCGCCUCCGAUCUACCAUCGCAGGGGGCGGCGGCGGCGACGACGAUGCCCCGCGUAAGACCAAGGGGCGCGGCUUCCGCGAGGACCCUAACUCCUCGUCCGCGCACCGCGACUCGCGGUUAGCUGGCGCAGGCCGCUCAGGCUUCGACGCCCUCGCCUCCGAUGGCGGCCCUGGACCCGUGCGCUCCAUUGAAGGGUGGAUUGUACUGGUUACUGGAGUUCAUGAAGAAGCUCAGGAGGAGGACCUCCAUAAUAUUUUCGGGGAUUAUGGGCAGGUCAAGAACUUGCAUUUGAAUUUGGAUCGCCGGACUGGAUUUGUGAAGGGAUAUGCUCUAAUUGAGUAUGAGAACUUUGAGCAAGCCAAGCGUGCAAUAAGAGAAUCAGACGGAACUGAGCUUCUUUCGCAGAUAAUAAGUGUUGACUGGGCAUUUAGCAGUGGCCCUGUCAAACAGAGAAAUACUCGGAAGAGAUCACCGAGGCCUAAUCGCUCAAGGAGCCCACCAAGGAGAAGAUACCCUUAG